UCAUGAGCUGGAGCUGGUAUACAACCAUGAUCAAGAGUUUAAUUGUGUGGAUCAUGCAUGCUAUUAGCUUCUGCCUGCCAGAUUGUACGUCUCCAUACGUACACGCGCCAUCUGUUCUUCCUUCUCACUACAUCAUCUCCCCGGCCGGUCUCCCGCCCCUUUAUAAACCUACCUACUCCCUUCUUCUAAUAGUGUAUUUCCUACCUCAGAUAGCUGGGAAAACUAGCUAGCUAGUCGACCGCGCGCCAUUUGGGAAAGCUUGUUUGAUCGAGGGAGCUAUAGAGGAGAGCAUUUGUUGAUCGCCGAAGAAAUUAGGCUUCGUUGUUGUUUGUUGCUGCCGCCGGCCGCCGGGGAUCGAUAGAGAUAUCGGAAAUUGUGGAUCGAUGGCGAUGCCGUGGGACAUGGCGGUGUGCAUCGCUUGCAACGUGUGGGUGCUGCUCGACGGCUGGGUCUCCACCUGCUUCCUCGCCGCCGACGAGGUCGCCCGCCUCCUCCGAUCCGCCACACAUUGAGUUAAUUAACCAGAGGGCUCAAUGUUGAUAUAACUGCUGUGGAGACUGUUCAUUUUCAGUACAUGGUCUCCAUCACAUGCAAAUAGCAAAUUGUCAAUACAUGUUUUCUUCUGCUUCAAAAUCGUUGACACAAAGGUGUACAGUACAAGAGAAGGAUGUACUCGAAUUUAAAUGAGUUGUACAUGUCCUCUGAUUUACAUGAACAUCUUGUGUAUAUGUUGAGAGUCCCUUCGCGAAUGAAGUUGACGACUCCACGGACAUUAUCAACUGGACAGUUGAUUAAGAAGAGUGGUGUAUAUCUAUUCCAAAUUACGAGUUCAGUGACUUCAA
Molecule: long non-coding RNA, 842 nt
Organism: Brachypodium distachyon (stiff brome)
Lineage: Eukaryota; Viridiplantae; Streptophyta; Magnoliopsida; Poales; Poaceae
Exons: 2
Source: RefSeq, a predicted model, not a curated record